Molecule: long non-coding RNA, 1271 nt
Organism: Phragmites australis (common reed)
Lineage: Eukaryota; Viridiplantae; Streptophyta; Magnoliopsida; Poales; Poaceae
Exons: 3
Source: RefSeq, a predicted model, not a curated record
CCCACCACCUAUCCCUUGUUACCGCCGCCUGCCUCUAUUUGCCGAGCGCUAGCCGCCACUGAGCCCCUGGUAAUCCCGUGCUCACCGGAAUCCUGCUGCACCGCAGUGCCGUCGCAUCUCCACGCCGCCGCCGCCGCCGCCCUUGCUACUGAUCUGCUGUCCUAUGCGCGUUCGGACGUCGCCCGCCCGCCCGUCGUCGCUCGAGGAUAGGAGGGUCAGCAUAGGACCGAGCAGCAGUGCUGCUGCUCUCUUUCAGCCAAUCCACCACCAGCACGUGCCAAUUCCGGCCGCCUUCGCCUGAGUUCCGACGGUGGCGGCCGUGGUCCUGCCAGCACGCGCCCAAGCCAUUGCUUAGAGAGGCAAGAAGAAGAAAAGAAAAGGAGAGAAGACAGAGGAAGAAGAAGGAAAGAGGAACAGAAAGCAGAACAAAUUUUGGUUACUCGGCGAUGAGUACUGUAAGCCACAUCUCUUUCGCUGACGACCGAAGUGAUCCACCCUAAAAGCCAACUUCAGUAGCUGAGUUGACAAAGCAGCAUGAGCUUAGUGGUACUCUUCAAAGUGAGGCAGAGAGUAAGAUGAAGAAGCAGAUAUCAAAUGCAAAAUCCAAGGAGCUCAGCAGCCACGACAUCUUUUCUGAUACUCAAGAAUCCAGGUCUAACAGUGCAAGGAACUCAUAAAAUGGCAGCACUACCUCACACACCUGUGAAAAACGCAAACGUACUGCAACAUAUCUGGUACUCCAUUGGUUUUUUUUUUUGCAUUUCAAAGUGAUAUUCAACUAAUGUUACCGUAAGACCAUGCCCAAGGAAAUCCCUUCACGGGCAAAUUCCCGUCGUGAAGGGAUUCCCGUUCCCUUCAACGCUCCCAACGGAUUCCCUUCACGGUUCCCUUCACGACGGGAUUCUCAGGGUCAUUCCCUUCAGGACGGGAUUCUCUCUCCAUUCCCUUCGCGAUUCCCUUCGAAGGGAAGCUGUUGGAGAUGAGAGAAAAUAAAGGGAAUGGGAACGGGGAAGGGAAUCGGGAAGGGAACGAAAUGAAAGGAAUAUGGUUGGGGAUAGUCAAUCAACAGGGAGCGCAUUCUCGUUUGGAGAGGCCAACGCUGACAGCGCGCCGAAAGCAUUGAACAUAACUGGCAAGCUCUCUGACCUCAUCGGCAGCUCUUUCUCACGGAUGGCUGGUUGCCUCUUGCUACUUGUUCCCGAACAUGUCGCGAUAAUAUGUAAUCUGGGUGUACAUGUGUUUGUAUAUGUCUAUGUAUACAAAAUUUUGGA